Molecule: ribosomal RNA, 497 nt
Filed under: uncultured bacterium
Lineage: Bacteria
Description: partial 16S ribosomal RNA
Rfam family: Bacterial small subunit ribosomal RNA
Source: RNAcentral
GAUGAACGCUGGCGGCGUGCCUAAUACAUGCAAGUCGAGCGAACGGACGAGAAGCUUGCUUCUCUGAUGUUAGCGGCGGACGGGUGAGUAACACGUGGAUAACCUACCUAUAAGACUGGGAUAACUUCGGGAAACCGGAGCUAAUACCGGAUGAUAUUUUGAAACGCAUGGUUCAAAAGUGAAAGACGGUCUUGCUGUCACUUAUAGAUGGAUCCGCGCUGCAUUAGCUAGUUGGUAAGGUAACGGCUUACCAAGGCAACGAUGCAUAGCCGACCUGAGAGGGUGAUCGGCCACACUGGAACUGAGACACGGUCCAGACUCCUACGGGAGGCAGCAGUAGGGAAUCUUCCGCAAUGGGCGAAAGCCUGACGGAGCAACGCCGCGUGAGUGAUGAAGGUCUUCGGAUCGUAAAACUCUGCUAUUAGGGAAGAACAUAUGUGUAAGUAACUGUGCACAUCUUGACGGUACCUAAUCAGAAAGCCACGGCUAACUACGUG